RNAcentral lists this ribosomal RNA (505 nucleotides) under uncultured bacterium. RNAcentral's name for it is "partial 16S ribosomal RNA". It matches the Rfam family "Bacterial small subunit ribosomal RNA", at positions 28 to 507 of the family's 1533-position model. The record is from RNAcentral.
GACGAACGCUGGCGGCGUGCCUAAUACAUGCAAGUAGAACGCACAGUUUAUACCGUAGCUUGCUACACCAUAGACUGUGAGUUGCGAACGGGUGAGUAACGCGUAGGUAACCUGCCUGGUAGCGGGGGAUAACUAUUGGAAACGAUAGCUAAUACCGCAUAAUAUUAAUUAUUGCAUGAUAAUUAAUUGAAAGGUGCAAUUGCACCACUACCAGAUGGACCUGCGUUGUAUUAGCUAGUAGGUGAGGUAACGGCUCACCUAGGCGACGAUACAUAGCCGACCGGAGAGGGUGGUCGGCCACACUGGGACGGAGACACGGCCCAGACUCCUACGGGAGGCAGCAGUAGGGAAUCUUCGGCAAUGGACGAAAGUCUGACCGAGCAACGCCGCGUGAGUGAAGAAGGUUUUCGGAUCGUAAAGCUCUGUUGUAAGAGAAGAACGGGUGUGAGAGUGGAAAGUUCACACUGUGACGGUAUCUUAACAGAAAGGGACGGCUAACUACGUG